Camelus ferus (Wild Bactrian camel) is the source of this 72-nucleotide transfer RNA. It matches the Rfam family "tRNA". Rfam says of the family: Transfer RNA (tRNA) molecules are approximately 80 nucleotides in length. Their secondary structure includes four short double-helical elements and three loops (D, anti-codon, and T loops). Further hydrogen bonds mediate the characteristic L-shaped molecular structure. tRNAs have two regions of fundamental functional importance: the anti-codon, which is responsible for specific mRNA codon recognition, and the 3' end, to which the tRNAs corresponding amino acid is attached (by aminoacyl-tRNA synthetases). tRNAs cope with the degeneracy of the genetic code in two manners: having more than one tRNA (with a specific anti-codon) for a particular amino acid; and 'wobble' base-pairing, i.e. permitting non-standard base-pairing at the 3rd anti-codon position. Lineage: Eukaryota; Metazoa; Chordata; Mammalia; Artiodactyla; Camelidae. The record is from Rfam.
GAGGGUAUAGCUCAGUGGGAGAGUGCCUGCUUAGCAUGCAUGAGGUCCUGGAUUCAAUCCCCAGUACCUCCA